This 57-nucleotide transfer RNA is filed under the name Loxodonta africana (African savanna elephant). It matches the Rfam family "tRNA", at positions 8 to 63 of the family's 71-position model. From Rfam's summary of the family: Transfer RNA (tRNA) molecules are approximately 80 nucleotides in length. Their secondary structure includes four short double-helical elements and three loops (D, anti-codon, and T loops). The record is from Rfam by way of RNAcentral. Lineage: Eukaryota; Metazoa; Chordata; Mammalia; Proboscidea; Elephantidae.
UGGCACAGUGAUUGAGUGCUCAGCUGCUAACUGAAAGGCCAGUGGUUCGAAUCCACU